CUCCCCCGGCCGUGGCCUGGGCUGGGGCCUGCCUGCUCGCCACCACGGGGUCGCAGGCUGGGGCCCCAGCACCUGACCACGGCUCUUCCCGGUGGGCUGGGCCGGCUCUGCGCGGUUACAGCGCCUUCCUGGCACGCAGGAGCCUGAGCUCCAUGCCCGGCCCAGCGUCAGCGCGUUGGCACGGGCGAUGCGUGCCUUGCAUUCCAGCAGCCCCGGAGACUGAGGCAGGAGGACAGCUUUGAUCCUGAAGCCAUCUGGGCUACAUACAAAACCUUGUCUCCAAAUUAGAAAAACAAAACAGGACUGAGACUCAGACUGUGCUCCAGUGGCCAGGGUCCUGGCCCCACCCCAGCACAAUGACCCCAGGGCCCAGUGGCACAAACUUGCCAUCCCAGCACUUGCGAGGGCCGCGAGUUCAAGGUCGUCGUCCCCUACACAGUGAGUCUGAGUUCAGCCUGGGCUGCAGGAGACCCUAUCUCUCCGCAGCCACAUCAGAGUCCUCUGUGGAACAGCCCCCCCUUCCGUCUGGUCCCCUCACUCCCUUCUGCACACGCCGGCUCAGAGAGCCGUCCUGGCUGCACGCAGCGCACCCCAGCCGGCGCCAAACCUACAAGCCAGUGUUGACUACUCUGCAGCUCUGGCCUCUGCUGUGGCCUGAGGCGGUGCCCACAUGGGAGCCAGGUCGCCUGGCCGGCCUGGUCGGUUGGGGUGUGCCCACUGGCUCCUGCUGACUCCAAGGCAGACAAGACUCUAAAUAUAGCCCGGGAGGAGACGGCAUAGUACUUUCCAUGCCUAUUUUUAGCUGCUUUGGGGAUCCCUCCGCCCAGCCUGGCUAGCCAGCCGGCUUCUCCUCCUCCUCCUCCCAGCUGGCUGACCCAGAGCCGGUCUCACAUAUCGCAGAGUGGGCACAGCACCCUGCCCUGGUGCUAGCCUCAAGGGUUGUCAAGAAUGCCCGAAGCUUCCUUUGACUGAGGGAUAGCUUGUCUCCAUAGACACCUUGGAACAGUUUCUUCAUCUCUGUGGGCCUCCUUUCAGGACGUGACCUGGAAAUCACAAUGGAGCACAUGAUUUGAUAAGGAAUGUAUGUAUUAGAUACCUUAAUAUCUGGCUCAGAGGACUGAGCCAUCCUCUCGGGGAAAAAGGCACAUUCACACACCUAAGUACCUAGUACUAAGUACUAAGCACUGUGGCACUUAGUAUCCUAGAGUUCAGUGCCCGGGUACCCGAGCCCAGCUGAGGGGAACCUCCUGGGGUCUCCAGCCUUACAGCCAGUAAGGACCAGGCCUCCUAGUCUGUGGGGGAUCCCAAGAGGCAGAGCAGGAAACAGGCCCUAGAAUGGGCUCCCAGGGUCUCAUGACUGGUGACACGCAGGCCAGCACACGCUCCUGGCUGGCCGUUGAUGAUGACCCACUCCAUAUGCCAUGGCUGCGUUGGUCAUUCUGCAGCCAUGUGGUCUCAUUCAGUGGGGCGGGGGGUGGCUGGCCGCAGGACCACUCUGCCAUGGGUGGUCUCACACCCGGCCUCAGUGUCCAUGCUCAGGAUAACACAAUCUUGUUUGGCUUUGUUUUGAGAGCGUCUUGCUCCACAGCCCUGGCCGAUGUGGUAUGUACUCUGCUGGCCUGCAACUUGUGGCCAUCCUCCUGCCUCUGCCUCCAGAGGGCUUGGAAGACAGCUGUGCCACCAUGGCAGGGGCAGAGGUUAGCUGAGCCGGUGAUGCUGUGUGAAUUGUAUGGACCCCAGCCGCCACAAAAACAGCAGGGCGGAGCAGCUCAUGCGGGUAAACCCAGGAGGGUCCAGCCUUCAGAGGUGGUCCCUAGGCCUGGCCCCUAAGAGCCCCAGGGCCUGGGUAUGCCUGCCUCUGCUCUUGCCCCUCAGCUGCUCUGAGCCCGGCUCCGGGAAGCAGGAUCAGGAGGCUGAAGUGAUGAGGCUCCUUCGGAGAAAAGAGCCGGAUCCCCACCCCUGGGGCUUAGAAGAAAGGAAGCGGGCACCUAACGAACGCGCAGCCCUGCAGGGCCGGAGACAGGCUCAUCUUCAAAGAAAAGGGCCGGAAGUGCAGAGGAAACUGCCAGCCGGAGGGGGAAGUCAGGGCUAGUCUUACCUCAGCAGGGCUCGCCC
Long non-coding RNA from Meriones unguiculatus (Mongolian gerbil), 2115 nucleotides. RefSeq lists it as uncharacterized. The transcript has 4 exons. Lineage: Eukaryota; Metazoa; Chordata; Mammalia; Rodentia; Muridae. The record is from RefSeq and is a predicted model, not a curated record.